Molecule: unclassified non-coding RNA, 277 nt
Filed under: uncultured Malassezia
Lineage: Eukaryota; Fungi; Basidiomycota; Malasseziomycetes; Malasseziales; Malasseziaceae
Description: sequence contains ITS2
Source: RNAcentral
AAUCUCCCACCCCAAGCGGUUUUUGAAUGAAACGGCUUGGCGGAUGGGGUCUGGAUGGGUGCCUCUGCCUGUGCUUACCUUUUAGCCCACAGGCUCGCCCGAAAUGCAUGAGCGCCUUGGGACACUUUGCAUCCGCCUCUCUUGUGGGAGGAGGCGGCCAAGCAGUGUUUUUCUCCAGGCAUGGCAUGAUACGUCAUUUGCUAUGUCGCCCAAUGGAGGAAUGUUUGGUUGUGUCUGCGUGUGCUUCGAACUUGCCUCUGUGCAAAUCCCCUUUCAC